CCUACGGGAGGCAGCAGUGGGGAAUAUUGCACAAUGGGCGCAAGCCUGAUGCAGCCAUGCCGCGUGUGUGAAGAAGGCCUUCGGGUUGUAAAGCACUUUCAGCGAGGAGGAAGGUGGUGAGCUUAAUACGCUCAUCAAUUGACGUUACUCGCAGAAGAAGCACCGGCUAACUCCGUGCCAGCAGCCGCGGUAAUACGGAGGGUGCAAGCGUUAAUCGGAAUUACUGGGCGUAAAGCGCACGCAGGCGGUUUGUUAAGUCAGAUGUGAAAUCCCCGGGCUCAACCUGGGAACUGCAUUUGAAACUGGCAAGCUAGAGUCUCGUAGAGGGGGGUAGAAUUCCAGGUGUAGCGGUGAAAUGCGUAGAGAUCUGGAGGAAUACCGGUGGCGAAGGCGGCCCCCUGGACGAAGACUGACGCUCAGGUGCGAAAGCGUGGGGAGCA
Molecule: ribosomal RNA, 440 nt
Filed under: uncultured bacterium
Lineage: Bacteria
Description: bacterial SSU rRNA
Rfam family: Bacterial small subunit ribosomal RNA
Source: RNAcentral